GACGAACGCUGGCGGCGUGCUUAACACAUGCAAGUCGAACGGUGAAAGAAGAGCUUGCUCUUCUGGAUCAGUGGCGAACGGGUGAGUAACACGUGAGUAACCUGCCCCAGACUCUGGAAUAAGCGCUGGAAACGGCGUCUAAUACCGGAUACGAGACAUAGCUGCAGGGCUACUGUCUGGAAAGUUUUUCGGUCUGGGAUGGACUCGCGGCCUAUCAGCUUGUUGGUGAGGUAACGGCUCACCAAGGCAACGACGGGUAGCCGGCCUGAGAGGGCGACCGGCCACACUGGGACUGAGACACGGACCAGACUCCUACGGGAGGCAGCAGUGGGAAAUAUUGCACAAUGGGCGAAAGCCUGAUGCAGCGACGCCGCGUGAGGGAUGACGGCCUUCGGGUUGUAAACCUCUUUCAGCAGGGAAGAAGCGAAAGUGACGGUACCUGAAGAAGAAGCACCGGCUAACUACGUG
Molecule: ribosomal RNA, 468 nt
Filed under: uncultured bacterium
Lineage: Bacteria
Description: partial 16S ribosomal RNA
Rfam family: Bacterial small subunit ribosomal RNA
Source: RNAcentral